AGAAUCAACGCUGGCGGCGUGCCUAACACAUGCAAGUCGAACGAGAAAGUGGAGCAAUCCAUGAGUAAAGUGGCGCACGGGUGAGUAACACGUGACUAACCUACCCUUGAGUGGGGGAUAACCUAGGGAAACCUGGGCUAAUACCGCAUAAUACCUUCGGGUCAAAGGAGCAAUUCGCUUAAGGAGGGGUCGCGGCCGAUUAGUUAGUUGGCGGGGUAAUGGCCCACCAAGACGAUGAUCGGUAU
Molecule: ribosomal RNA, 245 nt
Filed under: uncultured bacterium
Lineage: Bacteria
Description: partial small subunit ribosomal RNA
Rfam family: Bacterial small subunit ribosomal RNA
Source: RNAcentral